This 376-nucleotide ribosomal RNA is filed under the name uncultured bacterium. RNAcentral's name for it is "bacterial SSU rRNA". It matches the Rfam family "Bacterial small subunit ribosomal RNA", at positions 524 to 898 of the family's 1533-position model. The record is from RNAcentral.
UACGGAGGGUGCGAGCGUUGUCCGGAAUCACUGGGCGUAAAGGGCGCGUAGGCGGCUUUUUAAGCGUGCGGUGAAAGCCCGGGGCUCAACCCCGGGUCGGCCGUGCGAACUGGAAAGCUCGAGCCCACUAGAGGCAGGCGGAAUUCCGGGUGUAGCGGUGGAAUGCGUAGAGAUCCGGAAGAACACCGGUGGCGAAGGCGGCCUGCUGGGGUGGAGCUGACGCUGAGGCGCGACAGCGUGGGGAGCAAACAGGAUUAGAUACCCUGGUAGUCCACGCCGUAAACGAUGGGCACUAGGUGCUCGGGGGAGCGACCCUCCGGGUGCCGGCGCUAACGCAUUAAGUGCCCCGCCUGGGGAGUACGGCCGCAAGGCUGAA